AACGCGUAUACAAUCUGCCUCAUACUAGGGGAUAGCCCAGAGAAAUUUGGAUUAAUACCCUAUAGUAUCUUUUAGAGUCAUCUCUUUAAGAUUAAAGGUUACAGUACGAGAUGAGUAUGCGUUCUAUUAGUUAGUAGGUGAGGUAACGGCUCACCUAGACCACGAUAGAUAGGGGCCCUGAGAGGGGGAUCCCCCACACUGGUACUGAGACACGGACCAGACUCCUACGGGAGGCAGCAGUGAGGAAUAUUAGACAAUGGGCGAAAGCCUGAUCUAGCCAUGCCGCGUGCAGGAUGACGGCCCUGUGAGUUGUAAACUGCUUUUAUACAGGAAGAAAAAACUCUACGUGUAGAGUCUUGACGGUACUGUAAGAAUAAGGAUCGGCUAACUCCGUGCCAGCAGCCGCGGUAAUACGGAGGAUCCAAGCGUUAUCCGGAAUUAUUGGGUUUAAAGGGUCCGUAGGUGGACAAUUAAGUCAGAGGUGAAAUCCUGCAGCUCAACUGUAGAAUUGCCUUUGAAACUGGUUGUCUUGAGUCAUUAUGAAGUGGUUAGAAUGUGUAGUGUAGCGGUGAAAUGCAUAGAUAUUACACAGAAUACCAAUU
RNAcentral lists this ribosomal RNA (602 nucleotides) under uncultured bacterium. RNAcentral describes it as "bacterial SSU rRNA". It matches the Rfam family "Bacterial small subunit ribosomal RNA", at positions 112 to 714 of the family's 1533-position model. The record is from RNAcentral.